GCAAACAGGAUUAGAUACCCUGGUAGUCCACGCUGUAAACGAUGUCGAUUUGGAGGUUGUGCCCUUGAGGCGUGGCUUCCGGAGCUAACGCGUUAAAUCGACCGCCUGGGGAGUACGGCCGCAAGGUUAAAACUCAAAUGAAUUGACGGGGGCCCGCACAAGCGGUGGAGCAUGUGGUUUAAUUCGAUGCAACGCGAAGAACCUUACCUACUCUUGACAUCCAGAGAACUUUCCAGAGAUGGAUUGGUGCCUUCGGGAACUCUGAGACAGGUGCUGCAUGGCUGUCGUCAGCUCGUGUUGUGAAAUGUUGGGUUAAGUCCCGCAACGAGCGCAACCCUUAUCCUUUGUUGCCAGCGGUUCGGCCGGGAACUCAAAGGAGACUGCCAGUGAUAAACUGGAGGAAGGUGGGGAUGACGUCAAGUCAUCAUGGCCCUUACGAGUAAGGCUACACACGUGCUACAAUGGCAUAUACAAAGAGAAGCGACCUCGCGAGAGCAAGCGGACCUCAUAAAGUAUGUCGUAGUCCGGAUUGGAGUCUGCAACUCGACUCCAUGAAGUCGGAAUCGCUAGUAAUCGUAGAUCAGAAUGCUACGGUGAAUACGUUCCCGGGCCUUGUACACACCGCCCGUCACACCAUGGGAGUGGGUUGCAAAAGAAGUAGGUAGCUUAACCUUCGGGAGGGCGCUUACCACUUUGUGAUUCAUGACUGGGG
Molecule: ribosomal RNA, 712 nt
Filed under: uncultured Serratia sp.
Lineage: Bacteria; Pseudomonadati; Pseudomonadota; Gammaproteobacteria; Enterobacterales; Yersiniaceae
Description: bacterial SSU rRNA
Rfam family: Bacterial small subunit ribosomal RNA
Source: RNAcentral